RNAcentral lists this transfer RNA (85 nucleotides) under Magnetospirillum sp. RNAcentral describes it as "tRNA-Leu". It matches the Rfam family "tRNA". Rfam says of the family: Transfer RNA (tRNA) molecules are approximately 80 nucleotides in length. Their secondary structure includes four short double-helical elements and three loops (D, anti-codon, and T loops). The record is from RNAcentral. Lineage: Bacteria; Pseudomonadati; Pseudomonadota; Alphaproteobacteria; Rhodospirillales; Rhodospirillaceae. RNAcentral also lists the same sequence under 2 other names.
GCGGGCGUGGCGAAACUGGUAGACGCGCGAGAUUUAGGUUCUCGUGACUCACGUCGUGGGGGUUCAAGUCCCUCCGCCCGCACCA